RNAcentral lists this long non-coding RNA (10985 nucleotides) under Panax ginseng (ginseng). Its description in RNAcentral is "long non-coding RNA (PGIN_LNC013317)". The record is from RNAcentral. Lineage: Eukaryota; Viridiplantae; Streptophyta; Magnoliopsida; Apiales; Araliaceae.
GAUGCAGAGAAGCUAUAUCAAAUAUGGAUUGCAGAAGGUUUGGUAUUAUCGAGUGAUCGAAGGGAUGAUGAAACAAUGAUGGAAGUGGCUGAAUCUUAUUUGGCAGAACUGGUGCACAGGUGUAUGGUUCAAGUGAAAUUUGAGGAUGAAGAGGUAUCACUUAGAAAGUUUGAAUCUUGUCGCCUUCAUGACCUUAUGACAGACCUAUCACUAUCCAAAGCAGUAGAAGAAGAUUUUUUCAAGGUCUUUGAUCUUCGAAGAGGCAGUGAUUAUCAUCAUGAUGAGCAAUCUAUGGAAUAUUUUGCUUACACUCGACGACUUGUUAUUUUUUAUGUCAGGGGUGGAGAAUCUAGAGAUAUGAGGAGUACCAUCUCGUCAAGGAAGGAUGCCAGUCGAAGCUUACGAUCAGUCUUAUUGUUCAAUGUUGAGGAGUGGAGAAUGGAACGUUGGCAACCCUGGCAACCCAUAUUUAGAAUAAUGAAUCAAAUUGCCAACUUCAGGUUACUGAGAGUUUUAUCUUUUGAAGGAUUUUCAUUUGUUCAAGAGGCUAUUAAGUUGAAAGGGGAUGUGCCCUUUUUUCAUUAUAUGAUUAAGCUACCAAAAGUAUUAGGUACUCUUGUUCACUUAAGAUAUUUGAGUUUUAGGGACAUUAUAAUACUGAAGUUUCCAACAUUUAUAGAAAACCUAGAGCAGUUGCAAACCCUUGAUUUGCGUAUAUUGUUUUUCUAUCAGGCAAAACAUAUAGUGCCGAAGAUGGAACACUUGCGGCAUCUAUAUUUACCAUACGAUAAUAUAGUCGAUGACGAGAGAAAAUGUAAAUUAAGGUUUGAUGGGUUAAGCAAAAAGUUGGAGACACUUGAAAACUUUGAUACUCGUUGGUGUGAGGUUAAGGAUCUGCAGAAAUUAAACAGUCUUCGGAAACUAACAGUAAUUACAACCAAUAACCGCGUUGAAUUGGAAGAGAUCAUACAAUACUUGAGUAAGGCCUCCAGCUCUCUCCGGUACACAUCCCUUAGAAUUAGACUAUUGGAUGAAUAUAAUUUGGGAUGGGGAAAUGGUUCAUCUCCUUUGAAGAAGCUAUUGUGGUCUGAUCGUUACAAGCUCAAUAGAUUGCGAACAGAAGGGCCCAUCAGAGACUUGCUGGUAUUUGACAAUAAUAGCCAUACCGCUACAAGUACCCUCACCUCGUUAAUCUUUGAAAGUUCUGGGCUGGAGGAAGACCCAAUGCCAGUGCUGGAGAGGAUUCCUACGCUGCGUAAACUCUCAUUUUUGGAUGAUGCGGUUCUCGCGAGGGAAAUGGUGUGCUCUGCCAUGGGUUUUCCCCAACUCACAGAUCUUCAACUACAUCAUAUGCCCAACUUGGAAAAAUGGAGGGUGGAUCGAGGUAGCAUGCCCAAUCUCUCCAGAUUAAUUAUUUCCGAGUGUGUCAAGUUGGAGGAGCUGCCGGAAGGAUUAAAAUUCAUCAAUGCCCUCCAACAUUUGCAAAUAAUAGGGAUGCCUAAAAAAUUCUGUGAUAGGAUUCGAUUGGUAGGUGGUGAACAAGGACCCGACUUUUACAAAGUUGCACACGUGCCGUCCAUCAGUUUGUUUCUCUGAUGAUUAAUAUUGAAAAUUGAUAUUUUCACAAGUUCCAUAAGUUUUUUCUCGUAUGAAUAGUAAGUAAGAAUGUAUCUCAUGUGAGAAAGGAUUUGAUGAAACUAUUAAAGUGAAAUUAUUAAUUCUCUUAAUAUUAUGUUAGUUUCUUUUCUGCUAUCUCUCAUGUAUUCCAGAUCAUCUUGAGAGAGAGAGAGAGAGAAUCAACUAAUAUAUAUGUACUUCCAUUAGUUCCAUGCAUGUCCGUACUAUAUAUGGACUCGUAAAACUUAACUGUUGAUUGUUGUGUAUAUAUAAUUAAUAUUUCAAAUUGCCAAAUUGGAGUGUACUAUUUACACUUUCCCAAAUGAGGUAUUACAAUCGCCUCAUCUUGGGUUGGGAUUAACAAUUUUUAAACAAAAAAGGGUCAUAAUCUUUUUAAAAUAUUGACACAUGUACCCUUUUUCCUUACUAAUUAACUCGUGGAAUGUAAAAACAGUAUACAUAUUUGAAGCAAGAUUUGAGGAAGUGAUAUUCAUAUAUAUUUUAGAGAGAGAAAUUGGGUGUUUAAUUUUGUUGCUUCUGCACCUCAUUCUUUCAGAUAACUAACUAAUUAAGUACCCCACCCCAUGCUUCGAUCAUGUUACUACUUCAAACAAAAUCCUUUCUUUAAAUAUGAAUAUAUAACAACCCUCUCGGUAGGUAUAUCUCUUUUCCAGCAUCACAUAUACUAACAAAAAUACUCUAUCCUUUUUAAUAUAUAAGAUCAAAUUUAAUUUGUUGAAGUCAAAUGGAGUCCAUUUCAAACUUCAAAUCUGACGCAACUUAUUUAAAUUUUAAAAUAAUUAAUCUUAUAAUUAAUACUGCUUCUUAAUGAUUUAUAAAUAGUCACUUGUAAUUGGCUGAAAUUGAGUAAAAUUACCGUUGUAAUUUUCAAAUAUACUGAUGGAGUUAUCAUUUUUACCCGUUAAAGCUACUCCACUCCCAUUCCACAUGCACACAGAAGUAAGCUGCUUAAUCAAUGGGAUUUGCCAACCUCGAGGUCUCAUAAUUUGGAUUUUAGUGUCUCACAAUCCACUUAUAUAUAUAUAUAUAUAUAUAUAUAUAUAUAUAUAUAUAUAUAUAUAUAUAUAUAUAAAUUAAUUAGCAAAUGCACAAGGCUCCACAUGCACACAGAAGUAAGUUGCUUAAUCAAUGGGAUUUUCCAACCAACGAGGUCUCAUAAUUUGGAUUUUAGUGUCUCGCAGAUUUUACUAUAGGAUAAGUGGACAAUGAUUUUUGUCUCAUCAUUUGGCGCUAUAUGAUGGGCCUGCACAUAGUAAAUGUAUAAAUCAAGUUUCACCGUUAAUGCCCUGAAAUAAUGUCUUUUUUUUUUUUUAUAAUUCAGGGUGGGGGACUGAAGCAAUGAUCUUUUGCUUUACAAGAGACCUUGGAGUACCAAUUGAGCGGAGGCCAGUUGGUGACUGAAAUAAUGUCCACUACACUAACAUUCACAUUAUCAAAUCCUCUUCAAUCCACUAAUGAUAAUAACCAAGUACAAACAAUAUCCCUCUUUUGUAUCCCUCUUUUGUAACUAUUUAUUUGUCACCAAAGUACUAUUAUAUUUCAUCAGCAUUAUCACUUCUUUAAAACUAAUUAAUUAAUUAAUUAAAGAUAUAUAUAUAUAUAUAUAUAAUUAUUAUUUUCUUGUUUCUCUUUCUUUUGGUUUUUGGGCCAAUUUUUAAUUGCAAUCAGUCUUGGUUUUUCUUGUUUAGGAUGGGUACAACAUGAUUAAUAGGCAGUGGUCAGCAUGAACUUUAUUUUUAGGUAAGUUGGUCAAUUGAGAUUCUAUGUGUAUUUAUAUUUUAUUGGUCAAUUAAUCAACUUACUAAAAAAUAAUCUUGAUGCUAACUGGAUCCUGAUUUCCUGAUUAAUAUAUAUACUCCUCCAGCUAGCGUGCUCGCUGAUUAAUCAACUUGUGUUCGAGGGCUCCAUGCAUGUACUCAAUUAUUGAGCAACUUUGGUGUAUAUAUAUAUUCCUCCAGCUACUCCUGUACUAAUACCCGACUACUAAAAUUGAAGAUCUGCUCUGCUCUCUCUGCGCUCGAUCGUCAAUUUCUUGGCUUCUCCCUCCUCCCCUCCGCGGCUGUUACUCCUGCUACUCCUACUCCUUUGAUCGCUGCUAUUCCUUUGAUUACUGUUAGGUACCAAAUCCUAGACCUAAUAUUUGAUAUGUAUAUAUGUGUGAAUAAUGUUAUGUUUGAAUUUUUGGCAUGUGGUUUUUCUUUUCUUUAUCUCUCUUUAAUUUUGACUAUAGUUGCAGUGCCUGUGGAUUUCAAUUCAAUUCCUUUUUUUGUUAAUUUAUGUAGUUCAAAUGUUUGAUAGAUUGAAUGAAUUGUUGUAUACUUGGUAGUGCUUAAUUAGGAAUAUGUGAGCAGCUUAAUUUUAGUAAUUUUUAGUAACUUGGGUUUUUAACCUGGUUUCUGCUUAGCAAUAGGAUAUAAAUAUAUUGGUGCAAAAUUAUAUUUUUGCUCUAUACAUGAGUGUACUCUCAGUAACCUGUAAAAAUAAAGUCACAGAGAGAUGUAUAUGAUCAACAUCAAAUGAAAACUAAUAAUUAUACAAAAAAGAAAAAAAUGCAAGUUGAGGGUUUGGAAUUCUACCUUAUUGGCUGAUGGAUUGUUAUUCAUGGUGAUUGUUUCUUUGGAGCUUAAUCAAGUGAUAGUGAUGUUUUUGUGUGAUACUUUUGUUGUAUACUCUAGAUAUAAAAAUGUCAUUUUACUAUUUGAACCAAACUCUGUUUGAAACAUUUGUGUGUUCAAAAUGUUAAGUAUGUGACAAAAUUUAAUGUUUUGACUAUCAUUUGUUUGCAUGGUUGAUUAAAAUUUUUCUUGUUCAAUUUCUAUUUAACUGACACAUUAUGUAUGAGCUAUGUGAUUUUUUUUUUCAAAACUAUUUCUAAAAAUCAGAUCAAGGAUUAUAAGAGGUCAACCUAAAAGGUAAAUGUUAGUUCUUUAUCAUGGCAAUGCAUUUCAUAAUUUUGUCAAAUCAUCCAAAGGUAUGAAAGUAUUAAUUGUGUUCAACUUCUCUUAUUAUAUUUCUAAUAAACGAGGACAAAAGGAGUAUGUUACAAGAACUGAGCAAAAAUGGAAGGGUUAAUUUGAAUCAUCAUGUAAUGUAAUAUACAAUGAAGCACUCAUUCGUUUGCAAAUGAUAUACGUUCUGGGUAGUCAUAUGGGCAGCACACAUUGCCUAUGUUAUGUGAAUCUAUGCACACAAAGCAUGCAUUCACCACAUAUUUUCCCCUCUUCCACAUACUUCCACAUAGUAUCUUGAGGUGACAUCGACCCCCACACUGCUGUCCAGAAAUUAAGUGUAUUUUACCUUUAUUCCAAACGUGGGUUUUAUGUUAUAUUAUGAGUUAAUCUAGUUAUAAUUUGUUCCAGACACAUAAUACUUGUUUGCAUGUUCAAGGGAGGACAUACAUACAUGUAACAUCUCUCCCCUAAACAGGUGCUUACAUGGCUGUACUGUCCUGUACAGUGCUGUAUUUAUAACUUUUGUCCUGCAUCAUUUGUUUAAGCUAAAAUAUGAUAUCCAAAAAUAUUUUAUCAGCAUUUGGUUAAGUAGAUUUCAUUCUUCUCAUGAUUUUGUGGUAGUUAAUUUUUUUCACAUUACUCUUAAUGACUAGUCUUUAGAUGAUCUUAUAGUGAGCUUUGGUUUGAGUUAUUUGGUUAACCAGUUUGAGUUUGCUGCAUGGUUUUAAAACACAUGAAUAUAGAUUAUGUGAAGAAAUUUGAUUAUUGUGUAACACAUGAAUAUAGUUCAUUUAAAUUUUUGUUUCAGGUUUAUGAUGCUACAGUAUUGUUUCUUGUUCCUGAAUUUUUUAGUACUUUGAUAAUAGAAAUUUGAGUACUGUUUAUUGGUUUUUUGUUCAUUUUGAGUACUUUAGAUUCCUUGUUCCGGAGCAUUUGAUGCUUUCUGCUGAACAUAUGAUAAUAUGUGUUUAUUUGUUAUUACUGCUUUAUUCUUUUGAUCAGAAAUAUGAUUUUGGAUUUCCCAAGUAAUCCGAUCUAGUAUUUUUGAAUCUUUGUUCUAAGGAUAUGGAUAUAUUUCCUUCUGCUCUUUCGAGGAAUAUGGUUUUUGAAUCCUUCUGAAGUUUUGUUGAUAUGAAUUAUCAUUACGUGGAUCCUUUUGAAGAAGUGUUUUUGAUUGAGGUUUGAUCUCAGUUAUGUGACAUAUACACCAUUAAUGUUUGUGUGUCUCCAGAGCAGGUUUUGUUUUAGGAAAUAGUAAAAGAAUUUUAAAUAAAAAGAACAAUGUUGUUUGAGAAAAAAAAUAUUUUUAAGCACUUAUCUUGUUUCUUUUAAUCAUUCUUUCAGAACACUAAUAGAGCAUGGUUUUCUUAUGUCUCAUUCAUUAGCCAUUAUUGGUGCUUCAUAUUGGCUAUUGGAUCAACAGUUAAUAUGAUUGUUUUCACUUAAGUUGUUGAUUAGAUUAGCUGGAUCCAAAUUGCUUGCUAAUGAUAGGUUUAUAAGGUGUAUCCAUGUAUUGUCGUUUCAUAUGGAUGCAUUAUGCAUGUCGUACAAUCUGAUAAAUUGAUUCUACUUGAUUUUUUUCAUUCAACAAGUGAAAUGGAAACUCAUAAAUUGAUGUUAUGGGUGGUGGUGAUCAUAACAAUGUUGUACAUUGAGGUGAAUCUACUUUAGUUAGUAAUAGUUUAAUUAUGCAAGCAAAGAGAUAUUAUAUUGCAUUAAAAAAAUUUAACUUGGAAUAAGAUUGUAGUUGAUAUGUUUAGAGAAUUUACUUAGUGUUUUAUUUAAUGAAAUUGUGGAUGAUUGUUAUGAUAUGAUAUUGAGUUAAUGUAUCUUUUUAUUAAUAUCCUUUUUAGUAAUCUUUAUAUCUGAUUUUAACUUAUAAGUCAUUAUCAGUCGAACACUUUCAUAACUUGUUUUAACUUAAUUUCUAACUUAUAAGUCAAAUUGAUACCGAACGCUUUUACUUAUAAGUCUGAACUUAAAAUAAUUUAUAAGUCAACUUAUAUUUGAACUUUAAGUUAUUUUAAAAUAAGUCGUUGCGGAAUGGGCUCUUAGAUUUGCCAUUAUAAACAUAAAUGUACGUGUGACACUUGCACUCUCAUAUACAACAUAUAUGCAGCAAGUACGUCUAACAAAAAGUAGAAAAUGAAAAUUACAACUUUGACAAAGUAAACACAUCCAAAAUUGGCCACGAGGCCAUGCACGAGUCAUUUCAUUUUGUCAUUGUUGGAAGUUUUGGCCUGCAUAGUUUACCAAAGACGUACUGUAGACUCAAAUAUUAAUAAUGUCCACUGAUUAAGCAACUUGUGUACAUGUUGUAGGGAUCGACCCCGUCCAUGUGGUCAUUGAUUAAGUGUUACUGUUUUUGCCAUCGAGUUUGUCAUAGCCGUGUAUUUGGAGAACUCCAAGCAGAUAAGCAUUUCUAGUACUAUAAAAGGGAGACACGCAUACCUACAUCAUAUAUAUAAAUGGCCGAGGCUGUUGUCUCUUUUGUUGUGGAAAAUAUUAGUGAUUUAUUGAAUGAAAAAGCUCAAAUUCUGAAUGCAGUGAUCAGUGGUCAAGUUGAAGAAGUUGUUGCCAAGUUUAGAUGGAUGCAGAGCUUCUUACGUGAUGCCGAUGCAAGGCAGAAAGAAGAGAGAGUCGGCAGAUGGAUUGCAGACUUGCGAGAGCUUGUCUAUGACGCCGAAGAUGAACUUGAAAGCUUUGUUCUCAAAGCUUCAUCCUUAAAGAAAGGAGGCACCAAAAACAUAAUCAAGAGAUGCGUUUGUGUCCUUGAUAAUGAAUGCGUGUAUCGUCACAAAUUUGGGCGGGAGAUGGAAGCUAUUCAAAGAAGGAUGGCUGAGCUCACAACUCGUUUACAUGAGUAUAACAUCAGAUCAAUAGCGCCAGUUGCAUCCUCCUCAAGUACUUGCAGGUCCAAUGAAACACCAGGCAAGUUAAAACGAUUUUACUCUCAUGUUGUUGUUGAGCCACAAGUUGUUGGGUUGCAGGAGGAUGUAGAAAGCUUGGUGGCGCAUUUGGUGAAUGAAAGUGAUGACGAGUGCUACCGAGUUGUGUCCAUAUGCGGAAUGGGCGGUAUAGGUAAGACCACUCUUGCUCAAAAAAUAUACAAUCAUCCCACUAUCAAGACUCACUUUUCAGGUAAUUUAGCUUGGGUUUCUAUAUCACAAAAGUGGGAAUUGAAAAAUGUGUUGCAACGAAUCAUUUUUUGUCUUGUUCAAGACCCAAAGCAAAGAAAUGAGAUUAUGAAAUUCGAAGAUGACAAAAUAUUGGAAUAUUUGCAUCAACUCCAACAAAGCAGAAAGUGUUUUGUGGUUCUUGAUGACAUUUGGUCAAAUGAUGCUUGGGAUUGUCUAAAAGCUGCUUUUCCAAUUCAACAUUUGAAAAGCAAGUUAAUGCUUACAAGUCGUAAUGUCCAAGUUUCUAAGCACGUUGAUCCAAAAGGUUUCCUUCACCAGCCACGACUUUUAAAUAAACAACAAAGCUGGGAGCUACUUCAGAUGAAAGCAGUUCCAAAACAAAAUUCAUUCGGUAAAGUAUUACUUUUACUCCCUGCAUUCUUUAUAUUAUUAAAUUCUAUCGACUCCUAAUCUUAAUUAACUCAUCGUGCUUUUUUAUUAAAAUAAAAUAUAUGCCGUGCAAAGAACACAUGAAUAUACGUACACACAUUUUUUAGAUAAUACUUCAUUCGUUCUAAAAAAAAUAAUAAGAUUAUUAUUUUCUUUUAAAAGUUCUUUUAAAAAAUUUCAAACUCAAAAAUGAGAUAAAUUAUUGAAACUUAUAAAUAUUACAAUGAGUCAAUACUUUUUAAAUAAUAUAUUCAUUAUUAUAUUGACUACAACUAAAGGAAUUUAUGCCCUUUUUGAAUUUUUUUUUUUUUAAAUUGACGUCAGAAAGUCCAUAAUGAUCUUAUACUUUUGAACUGAAAAUCAUAAUUAAAAUUCUCUAUAAUGAAUAUGGUUUGGGCCGUAAACGGACAUAUUUGAAUUCGAAUAAACUAAUAUUCGUAUUCGUAUCCGAAAAAUAAUAUUUUAUCCAUAUUCGUAUAUGAUAUUCGACGGAUUUCUUAACGGUACCAUUCGAAUUCGAUAUUCGAAAAUUAUUUGAAUUCAAUUAUUAUCCGUUUCUAAAUCCGAAGUCAUUAGUAUAAUUAAUUAAAAUUAGUAAAUAAAUAAUUUAAAAUUUGAGAAAUUAUUAUUAUGAUAUUAAUAUAACAUAACACAAUUAUCAACCAUAUUAUUAAAUUAUUAAAUUCAUAAGAACAAAAAUUAAUCACACUAUUUAAUAAAAUAUCUUUAUGAAAGAUAUUAAAAAUAUUAUAAUUUUAUAUUAAGACCCGUUCGGAUAAAUAUGUUGGCGGACAUAUGUUAAACGGAUACGAAUAUACAUGUAUCCGUAUUCUUAUUCGUUUAUUUGUGAAUAUCUCUAAUCGAAUACGAAUAAUUUCAGCUUUAAACGAAUACGAACAUGAACAAAUAUCCUAUUUUUCGAUUACCAUUUACAACCCUAAAUGUGGUCACAAAAUUUGUUGAAUUAUGGAUUUUUUUGGUGGUAUAUACUGAUCAAUAUUAUUUCAUCUUAUUUUUCGUGCAACGAUUUGUGUCCUUGAUGUCUAUACACACUACUAGUCUGCGAUAGUGUUUGAUAACAUCUUAUUGUCUCUUUUUGGCCUUUUCUCUCUUUUUCGCGCAGAAGUUAUGUUGUUUAAUACUUUAAUUGACAAAAACUUUUCCAAACACUUUUUACCUUUUUUUUAAAAAAAAACAUUGAGCCAAUUCUUUUUAAAAAAAGAGACUCUUCAUUACUAUUUUACUCUCACUAGCUUAAUUUCAUAUUUUUAACUAUUCAUUCCACUUCUCACACUACACCCACCACCACCUCUCACCACAACCACCCAUCACCACCCACCCCAUCAUUCACCACCACUCACCCCAUAAUUAUUAUAAUAUUUUAUUAGACUUAAAAUAUUUUACUAGUUAUACCUUGUUGGUGAUAAUUUUUAAAUUAAUUAUUUAAUAUUUGUUAUAUUUUUAUCCUCACUCUAAGUUUAUAUAAACUGAUAUAAGUGUAAAUUAGUAAAAUAUUGUAUUCAGACGUACAAAAAAGACGAUCGUUGUCAACCAACUCUAUUACAUUUAAUCUCUGUUUUAAAAAAGAGCCUCUAUUUUAUACAGAGGCUCUAUUUUAAUAAUAUCUUAUUGCACAGUUUUGUCAAACACUACCUACAUUUGUUUAACUGCAAUUAUGGUGAAUAUGAUUGCAAUUAUUUUGGAAUUAAUUCUAAGAUGAAAGUUAAUUCUAUGGAUUGUUUAUUUUAUUUUAAGAAAAUCUAUCUAAAGUCUUAAAAAUUUAGAUAUGUUUUAAUGUAGCCUGUUCAUAGGAAAAAGGGAAAAACUAAGAUAUUUAACUUCUAAACACGAAAAAAGUCAAUUUAAUAGUAUUUAUAAGAAUUCUUAGAAUUCUAAAUAUUCUAGAUUUAUAAAGCUAAUGAAAUCCAAAAUUCUAAACCAAACAUAACCUAACCAAUUGUCAUGCAUAUCGUACAUUUAUAAGCUCAAUCAUAUAUGCAAGAUAUUGUAUUGGCAGUUAAUUAAUGUACAAGAGAAUACACAAUUUUUUUAUAUUCCCUUUCAAAAUGUAUCUAGCUAGCUAGGUUCAUCAUUUAUUUAGCGUCGAUGAAACAUAAUAUAGAUUCUUCAGAUAUUUUCAAGCAGCAAUAAAAACUUGCACUUAUUUUGUUUUUGUUUCAAUUGGUUGUAGACACGAGAUCAUAUGUUAAAGAGAUGGAAGAGUUAGGGAGGGAAAUGGUUGGACAUUGUGCGGGUCUUCCAUUGGCUAUAGUUGUGUUGGGAGGAAUUCUUGUAACGAAACCUACAUUGACAGAAUGGGAGAAGGUGCAUCAAGAAAUUCAGUCAUCCAUUAGGAGUGGUGAAGGAAUGGGAGAAGAAUAUCAAAGAGAAGUAUUAGAGAUUUUAAUUUUGAGUUACAAUGAUUUACCAUAUCAAUUGAAGCCGUGUUUUUUAUAUUUGAGUAAAUUUGGCGAAGAUGUUGAGAUAAGUGCGGAGAAGCUAUAUCAACUAUGGAUUGCAGAAGGUUUGGUAUUGUCGAGUGAUCGAAGGGAUGAUGAAACAAUGAUGGAAGUGGCUGAAUCUUAUUUGGCAGAACUGGUGCACAGGUGUAUGGUUCAAGUGAAAUUUGAGGAUGAAGAGUUAUCACUUAGAAAGUUUGGAUCUUGUCACCUUCAUGACCUUAUGACAGACCUAUCACUAUCCAAAGUAGUAGAAGAAGAUUUUUUCAAGGUCUUUGAUCUUCGAAGAGGCAGUGAUUAUCAUCAUGAUGAGCAAUCUGUGGAAUAUUUUGUUUGCACUCGACGACUUGUUAUUGUCUAUUUCGAGG